This 141-nucleotide microRNA precursor is filed under the name Phaeodactylum tricornutum. RNAcentral's name for it is "miR5476 stem-loop (pti-MIR5476)". The record is from miRBase by way of RNAcentral. Lineage: Eukaryota; Bacillariophyta; Bacillariophyceae; Surirellales; Neidiaceae.
GGUGGUCGCGGCGGAAGAGGUGGUUGCGGUGGUUGCGGCGGUUGUCACGGUCGAGGCGGUCGUGGUGGAGGAAAAGGUAAACCAUUUAACAACGGCUCGACAAGCGGUAUGACCGACCGCUACUACUCUUUCGAAGAGUAU